CCCAGGUCAGGCGGGGCUACCCGCUGAAUUUAAGCAUAUCAAUAAGCGGAGGAAAAGAAACUUACAAGG
RNAcentral lists this ribosomal RNA (69 nucleotides) under Silene italica. RNAcentral describes it as "partial 26S ribosomal RNA". It matches the Rfam family "Eukaryotic large subunit ribosomal RNA", at positions 1 to 73 of the family's 3401-position model. Lineage: Eukaryota; Viridiplantae; Streptophyta; Magnoliopsida; Caryophyllales; Caryophyllaceae. RNAcentral also lists the same sequence under 1 other name. The record is from RNAcentral.